RNAcentral lists this long non-coding RNA (1318 nucleotides) under Heterocephalus glaber (naked mole-rat). Its description in RNAcentral is "lncRNA (ENSHGLG00000029886.2)". Lineage: Eukaryota; Metazoa; Chordata; Mammalia; Rodentia; Bathyergidae. The record is from RNAcentral.
CUCAAAGUCUCCAAAUCACAAUAUCCCUCACUACCUCUUUAUAUUUGGAAAUGUUAGUUUUCCACUGUUGAGUAGUAUGGUUGGGAUGAUUUCUGAUAUUGUCUAAAGGUAUGUUAGCAUGUGAAUCUAGCUGCAGCCACAAACAGCCGGGUAUAGGUUGAAUGUUUCUGUUUCCCCCAAAUUCACAUGUUGAAACUUAGUCCCCAGCGUCAUAACAUUUGCAGGUGGGGCCUUUGGUAUGUGAUUAGGUCAUGAGAAUCCUGGUGGAGAUUAUUUCCCAUAUGGUAAAGAGCUUCCUUCCCCCUUCUACCAUGUGUGAACCCACAGAAAGAUGGCCAAAGAGAAAAUGGGAAGUGGGUCUUACCAGUAGCUAGUCUAGUGGAGUGUUGAUGUUAUACAUUCCAGACCCCAAGACUAUUAGAAAUAAAGUUAUGUUGUUUAUAUGCUACUCAAUCUGUGGUAUUCCAUUAUAGUAACUGAAAUGGACUAAGAUACAGCCAUCAUAUGAAUAUGGGUUUCAGAUGUACAACAAGACAUGGAAAAACUGACAGUGUGAACAGUGAAGAAAAAGGAAGAAAUCCACUUUGGAUCAUGGUUUAGAAGAAAUAUGGGGUCCAAAAAAGGGUUUCUUUUUUGAAUCUGCCAUGCUAUGAAGGACGUGAAAAUCAGUUUUACUGGAAAGAUGAUGGACUCUCAUCUGAGAUUGCCCCCUGGAGGACAUAGGGAGCAACCAGACAGCAUCUGCUUCCUGCUCCAGGGAGGAUCAACAUUAAUUAAUGCAACAGAGCAGCUGGUUCUCUCUGAGCUACUGAUUUGGAUUCAGCUGCAGUGAUUAUUUCUUUGUGCAUCAUUUGGCUUUGUGCAUCAUUUGACUCCUCAAAAGAUCACACAUUGUUAUGUUUUACAUCUAGACUGUCUCACAAAAGUCCCAUAAGUUCAGAGGUGGGACUUUUGGAUGGUGACUGGAUCAUGGAGGUGCUGUGCUCUUCAGAGCAUUGAGCACACUCUCACACAAAUGCUUGUGGAUGGACUAUGUGAAAUUGAACCAGAACUUCAGGAAUGAAGAAGUGAAGUCAGAAGAACUAGUAAGCUGGAAACCAAAGGCAGAGAGAAAUACAAUCAAGGAAAUAUUAAACUCAGAUUGAAGACUAAAGGAGUAGUAAUAAAUAUUUCCCCAAGUACAUGAGACUCUCCCUCUCUAUGUUGGCUGUGGAUCCCACUCAAAAUUCAAUCAUGCUAUGAAAAUGUUUUAUCACUCACCUACAUCCUGGAGAAAAGAAUAUCAAGAUGCUUUUUCUCUUCCAAGCUGAAUAACACA